This 379-nucleotide ribosomal RNA is filed under the name Pinnularia sp. 6 CS-2011. RNAcentral describes it as "eukaryotic LSU rRNA". It matches the Rfam family "Eukaryotic large subunit ribosomal RNA", at positions 85 to 515 of the family's 3401-position model. The record is from RNAcentral. Lineage: Eukaryota; Bacillariophyta; Bacillariophyceae; Sellaphorales; Pinnulariaceae.
AAGGGCGACUGAACUGUCAUGAGCUCACCGUGUGAAUCAGCGGCGCCGAAUUGUGGUCUGGAGGUGUAUGCAUUUGGGCAAAGUCCCUUGGAAGAGGGCAGCAUAGAGGGUGAUACUCCCGUUUGCUUGGUGCCAUCAAUGAGUCGAGUUGUUUGGGAUUGCAGCUCAAAGCCGGUGGUAAAUUCCAUCGAAAGCUAAAUAUAGGCGGGAGACCGAUAGCGCACAAGUACCGUGAGGGAAAGAUGCAAAGAACUUUGAAAAGAGAGUUAAAGAGUGCCUGAAAUUGCUGAGAAGGAAGCGAAGGAAAGUAGUGAUGCUGCGCCAUACUUCCCGACCUGCUUGCGGGUGGGGCGCUGUGGUCAGUGAGGUUCAAUUUGGU